CGGACGGGUGAGUAACGCGUGGGUAACCUACCCUGUACACACGGAUAACAUACCGAAAGGUAUGCUAAUACAGGAUAAUAUAUUUGAGAGGCAUCUCUUGAAUAUCAAAGGUGAGCCAGUACAGGAUGGACCCGCGUCUGAUUAGCUAGUUGGUAAGGUAACGGCUUACCAAGGCGACGAUCAGUAGCCGACCUGAGAGGGUGAUCGGCCAUAUUGGAACUGAGACACGGUCCAA
Molecule: ribosomal RNA, 235 nt
Filed under: uncultured bacterium
Lineage: Bacteria
Description: partial 16S ribosomal RNA
Rfam family: Bacterial small subunit ribosomal RNA
Source: RNAcentral